GUUAGAAUGUUACCUCAUUUAAGAAUUUCUUACAUUUUGAAGGCGAGUUAUGUUUGAACUCUGUGCUAUCUUCCUUUUCAGUCUUGAAUGUUUCAACGUCUCUUCUCUUGAGUGAGAUCAACUCCUCUGCCAAAGACCUCAGCAGGUCAUCUGUGAGAGGUCCAUCACCAACCUCCUCUAAAAGCCUCUGGUACAAAGGUGACGCCGUUCCGUCACUUGUCCAGAUGUGCUCUGCUGGACAGUUCCACAAGCAGAGAUUACAAGGACAUGGCAUUUAUUCUCUGGAGAAGAACUGUCUGCGCUAAGAUUCUCAUAAACUGGAGUUGCAAACAUUUCGUAGAUUGCUGGACCUUCAUCUCCCUGACUGAGCUUCAGAAACAUGUCUUUGUCCUUCAGAGAAAGUGCAGCAGUUCAUACUUGGAGACUUUCUCUGAAAAUCAGAGUUUUCUGUUGUUUUGAAAGACUUGCAUCUUAUUUCAUUCUUGACGACUUUCCUAACAGUCAAUGAUUUGGUCCCCAGUUCCAGAUUGAGUGACUUCUCUAAGAUCCUUUCCACUCUUCGUCUGGACUGUGAUGAGAUGGGCAAGAUGCUACUUUGUUUUAAGAGAAGUGGGUGCUCAAGACUUGAACAUGCAGAGCCAUCCUUAUAUAUAUUGUCCAGCGGAGCAAGAUGUUUGGGUGUCUUUGAACAUAGAGUAGGUAGUGUCUGGAAAUCACAGCACAGCAAUCAAAAUGGUAUUAAAGGCAAGACUUUUUGCAUUUAUUAAAAGCAUUUCCUCACCUUUUGUCUGUUAUCGUCAUCCCCUGUGUGAGCACCUCUAAGCCCUGUAGUUAAUUGAAAACUUUUAUUAUAAGAUUUUCUUUCUUAUAACCUCUUCACCAAUUCUUUUUUCAUUACAAUCAAAGUUGCACACACACACUAAAACUUAAAUAUAGAGUUGCCAAUAGUUACGUUAAGCGAAUGUGUCCUCAAUUUUGGUGACUCCGCAGCCACAAAUGUAGGCAACCUAUGUUUGUUUGAAAACUAUCCCUUGAGCAUCCCAUAAUCCUCUUUCUCAUGGAUUGUACAAAGUAUUAGUGAAGGUCUCUUUUAAUGCUUAGUCUUCUGAUGACAAUAUACCCUAAGCUCCUUCAUUCAUUCUCAGACUGAUCUGGUGAGAAUCUGUCCACAAACAAACAUGUCUGUUGGCAUUGGUCAGCAUCUAUCGGUGCAGUGUGAAAUAGCCUUAACUAGUGAACCCACUUACAUUUUGGCUGACUGUGCUCAUUUAUUCGCUGAAAUCUGUCAAACCACAUUAUGCUUCACAAUGUAUCUAAUAAUCAGUGUCUGUAUUUUGUUUUAAUGCAAUUCUUUCACAAUAAAC
This is a long non-coding RNA of Cyprinus carpio carpio, 1364 nucleotides long. NCBI's taxonomy places the organism in Eukaryota, Metazoa, Chordata, Actinopteri, Cypriniformes, Cyprinidae. The record is from Ensembl.